GCCGCGGUGGUGGAAUGGUAGACACGAAGGCCUUAAGAGCCUUUUCCCUUUCGGGAGUGGAGGUUCGAGUCCUCUUCGCGGUA
Molecule: transfer RNA, 83 nt
Filed under: Candidatus Levyibacteriota bacterium
Lineage: Bacteria; Candidatus Levyibacteriota
Description: tRNA-Leu
Rfam family: tRNA
About the family: Transfer RNA (tRNA) molecules are approximately 80 nucleotides in length. Their secondary structure includes four short double-helical elements and three loops (D, anti-codon, and T loops). Further hydrogen bonds mediate the characteristic L-shaped molecular structure. tRNAs have two regions of fundamental functional importance: the anti-codon, which is responsible for specific mRNA codon recognition, and the 3' end, to which the tRNAs corresponding amino acid is attached (by aminoacyl-tRNA synthetases). tRNAs cope with the degeneracy of the genetic code in two manners: having more than one tRNA (with a specific anti-codon) for a particular amino acid; and 'wobble' base-pairing, i.e. permitting non-standard base-pairing at the 3rd anti-codon position.
Source: RNAcentral